Molecule: ribosomal RNA, 509 nt
Filed under: uncultured bacterium
Lineage: Bacteria
Description: bacterial SSU rRNA
Rfam family: Bacterial small subunit ribosomal RNA
Source: RNAcentral
CAGAGUGAACGCUGGCGGCAGGCCUAACACAUGCAAGUCGAGCGGCAGCGCAGCAGUAGCAAUACUGUGGGCGGCGAGCGGCGGACGGGUGAGGAACACAUCGGAAUCUACCUUGUCGUGGGGGAUAACGUAGGGAAACUUACGCUAAUACCGCAUACGACCUACGGGUGAAAGCGGCGGACCGCAAGGCGUCGCGCGAUUGGAUGAGCCGAUGUCCGAUUAGCUAGUUGGCGGGGUAAUGGCCCACCAAGGCGACGAUCGGUAGCUGGUCUGAGAGGACGACCAGCCACACUGGAACUGAGACACGGUCCAGACUCCUACGGGAGGCAGCAGUGGGGAAUAUUGGACAAUGGGCGCAAGCCUGAUCCAGCCAUGCCGCGUGGGUGAAGAAGGCCUUCGGGUUGUAAAGCCCUUUUGUUCGGGAAGAAAUCCUGUCGGUUAAUACCCGGCGGGGAUGACGGUACCGGAAGAAUAAGCACCGGCUAACUUCGUGCCAGCAGCCGCGGUAA